Molecule: ribosomal RNA, 253 nt
Filed under: uncultured bacterium
Lineage: Bacteria
Description: partial 16S ribosomal RNA
Rfam family: Bacterial small subunit ribosomal RNA
Source: RNAcentral
GACAGAGGGUGCAAACGUUGCUCGGAAUUACUGGGCGUAAAGCGCGUGUAGGCUGACCGGAAAGUCGGGCGUGAAAGCCCUGGGCUCAACCCAGGAACUGCACUCGAAACUCCCGGUCUAGAGUGGUGGAGAGGGAAGUGGAAUUCCUGGUGUAGAGGUGAAAUUCGUAGAUAUCAGGAGGAACACCAGUGGCGAAGGCGGCUUCCUGGACACCAACUGACGCUGAGACGCGAAAGCUGGGGGAGCAAACGGG